Molecule: ribosomal RNA, 449 nt
Filed under: uncultured bacterium
Lineage: Bacteria
Description: bacterial SSU rRNA
Rfam family: Bacterial small subunit ribosomal RNA
Source: RNAcentral
GCCAGACUCCUACGGGAGGCAGCAGUGGGGAAUAUUGGGCAAUGGGCGCAAGCCUGACCCAGCAACGCCGCGUGAAGGAAGAAGGCUUUCGGGUUGUAAACUUCUUUUAAGAGGGAAGAGCAGAAGACGGUACCUCUUGAAUAAGCCACGGCUAACUACGUGCCAGCAGCCGCGGUAAUACGGAGGAUCCGAGCGUUAUCCGGAUUCAUUGGGUUUAAAGGGUGCGUAGGUUGUUUUAUAAGUUAGCGGUGAAAUACCGAUGCUCAACAUCGGGGCUGCCGCUAAUACUGUAGGACUAGAGAUCGGAUGCAGCAGGCGGAAUGUGUAGUGUAGCGGUGAAAUGCAUAGAUAUUACACAGAACUCCGAUUGCGAAGGCAGCAUACCGGCGCCCAACUGACGCUGAAGCACGAAAGCGUGGGUAUCGAACAGGAUUAGAUACCCCUGUAGC